RNAcentral lists this long non-coding RNA (2322 nucleotides) under Marmota monax (woodchuck). Lineage: Eukaryota; Metazoa; Chordata; Mammalia; Rodentia; Sciuridae. The record is from RNAcentral.
CUUCCUUAUCCAGGAUGGCUGCUGGACCUCAAGCCCUCCGGUCUGAAACCCAGCCAGCAGGGAGGAGGAAAUCCAGGAAAGGGCUUUAAAGACAUUUCCUGUUAGUCACAUGUCAUCUCCUCUUAUAUACCACUGAUCAGAACUGAGUUGCAUGGUUACAACUUAGCUACAAGGGAAAUGUAGUACUUGUUCAGUGUGGCUAUGUAUCCAUUUAAAAAUCAGGUGACUUCUACCAUCAAAAACUGAGAGGAUAUUUGAAGAUAGCCUGUAGUCUUGGCCACUCCUUCCAUUUCUUUACUCAUAUUGGUGAUAUAAAUAUUAAACUGAUCAAGACUAAGGACAAUAAGAGUUAAUAUUUAUUGUGCAUUUACUAUGUGCCAGGCUUUGCCCUAGGCACUUUUCAUGGAAUCAUGUAGCUAAUUUCCACAAAAUUCUUUUAAGUAAGAUCCUAUUUUUACUCUAUUACAUAGAUGGAAAAACAGAGGUCAAGAGAUCCUAGAGCCCAAGGUCAUACAGCUUAUAAGGUUUAUUGCUAAGUUUGGAAUCCAAGUUCUUAAUUAACUAGUACAAUGUGUUGCCUUUGGGCAGUGUGAGAGAGGUGUAAGCAUGUCUUAUUUUGGUAACGAUUAUUUUGGAAUUUUUUUGUCACUCAUAUCUGUAGUCUGCCUUCUCUGCUACAGGCCUCCCUUGGGUUGAAAUUAAUUAGCGAGCCACAGGCAAUCCUUCAAUUAAUGACUGUUCCACCCCUGUUUCUUCUCAGGUCUGUUUAGCAGCUGAGCCUUGCCCUUUAUAAUUACGAAAAAAUAGGGUCAGGUCCCAGAACCAGGUUUAUGCUUAGGAAGGGGAGAUGAUGCAUAUCCUACAUAGGGGAUGCAAACACGUCACAUGGCUGGCUGUGGGAGUGAGGGGCAGCUUCAAAAGCUCUGGAGCAAGAAAGACCUCAGGGCGAAUUCUCCUUGCCCUCUCAACUUCAGUGGAUAAGAACUCUUUGUAUAUUUGUUAUGAGGAGUAAAAUGUGGGUGCAGGAGCGCACGUAUCAUGCAUCUGUACACCACACAGCGUGGAGUCUGGCACCUACCAGGUAUCUGUGUUUUAUUACUUGAUCAUGACCAGUGAAAGCUCCAACUCACUGUUGGAGCUCCAGGCAUCCAUGAAAGAGAAAGAAAUGUGAAGGAUUUGAGGCAGAAAAUAUGGUGAAGGGGAUAAACAUUGUCACAUCUUUUUAAAAAUAUAUCUAUCUUGACUUCUGGGAAGUUAACUGAAGGAACAAAUUCAACUGAAACAAAAACCUAGGUGCUUGAUUUUCAGGACUAUCUCAACAGCUAAACUCUCAAGCCCCUCUACCAAACACUGGGGGAGGAAGGUCUUGGUGCACAGGGCACAGCAGUUCAGUGGAACUGUGGGAAGCCCUGUAAGAGAAGAGGAUUGAGGCCCUGCUGCAAUGUGGAGAAAUAUUUAGGAUUUCAUAUCAGUGAAAGAAGGAAGACAUAAGUGGCCUGAUAUAUAUUUGCAACUAUACGUACAUUUUAUUUCUAUGCAAGAAAUGUUUAUUUCUAUGUAAGAGUAGAAGAAAGGAACUACAAUUUGAAUAUGUUCCCCCAAACCCAUGUGUUGGAAACAAUCCUUAAUGCAACAAUGUUAAGAGGUGAAACCCUUUAAAAGGGACUAGGCUAUGCAUGGGUUAAUGUCAUUACUGGAGUGAAUUUGUUAUUGUGGGACUAAAAGGAUGAGUUUGGCCCCUGUUGAAUUUCCUCUCACCCUCUAUUUCCCUUCCACCUUCUUAUGGAGAGAGAUUUUGGGACAAUGCAGCACAAAGGCCUCAACAGAUACAGAACACUUGAUUUUGGACUUCUCAGCCAUUAGCACUGUAAGAAAGAAAUCUCUGUUCUUUAUAAAUCACCCAGUGUCAGAUACUAUGUUAGAGCAGCACAAAAUGGACAAAGACAGAAGGUAAACGUUCAUAAAAACAUUGAUUAUUGAUUUAAAAAAAAUAAAAUAAAAACAGAUUUGGUAUAAGGUUGUGGAAAAAUUGCAAUAUUUCCAAUAUUUUCAUACACUGUUCAAUUGAACAAAGCAAACAAGGAGACUGGGUGUGUAGCUCACUGGUAGAGCACUUGCCUACAAUGUGCAAGGCCCAAGGCUUAAUCCCCAGUGCCACAAAACAAACAAACAAACAAAAACAUUUUAAUGAAGUUUUCCAAAGUUUCAUCAAGUAGAAAGUCAGUUUUUGGUCUUUUUAGUAAUUGUUUUCACAAUGAAGCCAGACCUUGGUUUCUAAAUACCAAUUUUCACUGAAGGGAACUAGGACUCCUUGAAGACCUG